RNAcentral lists this ribosomal RNA (460 nucleotides) under uncultured bacterium. RNAcentral describes it as "partial 16S ribosomal RNA". It matches the Rfam family "Bacterial small subunit ribosomal RNA", at positions 338 to 795 of the family's 1533-position model. The record is from RNAcentral.
CCUACGGGAGGCAGCAGUGAGGAAUAUUGGUCAAUGGGCGCGAGCCUGAACCAGCCAAGUCGCGUGAGGGAUGACGGCCCUACGGGUUGUAAACCUCUUUUGCCGGGGAGCAACGGGCGCCACGUGUGGCGCCACUGAGAGUACCCGGAGAAAAAGCAUCGGCUAACUCCGUGCCAGCAGCCGCGGUAAUACGGGGGAUGCGAGCGUUAUCGGGAUUUAUUGGGUUUAAAGGGUGCGUGGGCGGUUAGUGAAGUCAGGGGUCAAAUUGGGGGGCUAAACCCCGUACCGCCAUUGAAACUGGCGCUCUUGAGUGGAAGAGAGGUAUGCGGAAUGCGUGGUGUAGCGGUGAAAUGCAUAGAUAUCACGCAGAACCCCGAUUGCGAAGGCAGCAUGCCGGCUUCCGACUGACGCUGAAGCACGAAAGCGUGGGGAUCGAACAGGAUUAGAUACCCUGGUAGUC